RNAcentral lists this long non-coding RNA (574 nucleotides) under Canis lupus dingo (dingo). Its description in RNAcentral is "lncRNA (ENSCAFG00020006530.1)". The record is from RNAcentral. Lineage: Eukaryota; Metazoa; Chordata; Mammalia; Carnivora; Canidae.
CGGGCAGCGCCGAGUGCGGCGGGGCCCGAGGAUGGUGCGGUGAUGGGGACCGCCGGGCUGCCGGGCUGGGGGUGCUGCUGGGUCCCUCUUCCUCUUUGCUUUCGGUUUCGAAGCGGCUGCCCCGGCUGGAGAGCGAGCCGCAGAUUAGAAGGGACACAUGGAAGCCUCCAGCCUACCAGCCAAGGAUCAGCUGAGCCCUGGGGCUGGUGCUUGCCUACACUGCUGAGAAUGGCACCAAGGCCCAGCCAGGCACCAGGACAAAGGUUAACCCGGGACACUCCUGGACAGUGAUCCUGAUGUCUGUUCUGAGCCGUGCACUUAAAGGUCUGACAAGAGAAAGAGAGGCCAACGUCCAGUGAGCUGCUGGUUCUUCCUGAUGCAGGCCUUCGCAGGGCUUUGGUCCCAGUGCUGAGCCAGGAGGUACUGGGAGAGUCUGGGGCAAAGGAGUUUAGGUGGGGGGAGGAUGGGGGUCUGUUGGGCCAGCACAGGGUGGGGGAUCUUGUCCUAACUCAACGUUUAAGCACUCUUGCAAGUAUUAACAAUGGGUUCAGGGAGUGGAGUUUUGAAAAUCCAG